This 477-nucleotide ribosomal RNA is filed under the name Candidatus Scalindua marina (nom. nud.). RNAcentral describes it as "bacterial SSU rRNA". It matches the Rfam family "Bacterial small subunit ribosomal RNA", at positions 365 to 832 of the family's 1533-position model. The record is from RNAcentral. RNAcentral also lists the same sequence under 1 other name. Lineage: Bacteria; Pseudomonadati; Planctomycetota; Candidatus Brocadiia; Candidatus Brocadiales; Candidatus Scalinduaceae.
UUCGCAAUGCCCGAAAGGGUGACGAAGCGACGCCGCGUGGGUGAGGAAGGCCUUCGGGUUGUAAAGCCCUGUCAGGAGUUAAGAAAUGUAAGUGCGCUAAUAUCGCACUUAUUUGACGAAGGCUCCAAAGGAAGCCACGGCUAACUCUGUGCCAGCAGCCGCGGUAAUACAGAGGUGGCAAGCGUUGUUCGGAAUUAUUGGGCGUAAAGAGCACGUAGGUGGGUUUGUAAGUCAGAUGUGAAAGCCUUCUGUUCAACGGAAGAAUUGCAUCUGAAACUACAAGUCUUGAGUGUAGGAGGGGAGAAUGGAACUUCUGGUGGAGCGGUGAAAUGCGUAGAUAUCAGAAGGAACGCCGGCGGCGAAAGCGAUUCUCUGGCCUAUUACUGACACUCAGUGUGCGAAAGCUAGGGGAGCAAACGGGAUUAGAUACCCCGGUAGUCCUAGCUGUAAACGAUGGGCACUAAGUAGAGGGGUUUU